Molecule: long non-coding RNA, 460 nt
Filed under: Zostera marina
Lineage: Eukaryota; Viridiplantae; Streptophyta; Magnoliopsida; Alismatales; Zosteraceae
Description: long non-coding RNA (ZMAR_LNC002674)
Source: RNAcentral
AAGAUAAUAGUCAAUUAAUUUUUAUCUAAUUAAUUAUAAUUCGAUAAAAAAUUUAGGAUAAUGUCGAACGUUAUGAAAGUACCCGAUAAAGAUAUGACGAUUCGUUCUUACGCCGUCUAAAAAAAGGUGAAGAACACUUAUAUCCAGGUUGCACUGAGUUUUCCAAACACUUAUAUCAACAAUGUAAUAUCAUGUUGAUUAUAAAAAUUUCUUUUUUUCAGUCAAACAUGAGUCAACUACUUGCAAUCGUCGCACGACUAGAGCGACUUAAACAGAUUCAACGUAGUUUUCACAAAAACAUAGAUUAUUAUUGUCGUGUUUUUGCUUGUUUCCGUUGCGGAGUCAACGGUCAUCAUUUUCAGAACUGUCAAAAAUUAUGGUCGACAAAUCCUCAAACAAUGGAAACCGGUCAGAUUUUAGUGUUAGGAUACGAGGCUAGAGUGUUGAAUGAUUGUGGUGG